This 470-nucleotide ribosomal RNA is filed under the name uncultured Desulfobulbus sp. RNAcentral's name for it is "bacterial SSU rRNA". It matches the Rfam family "Bacterial small subunit ribosomal RNA", at positions 916 to 1382 of the family's 1533-position model. Lineage: Bacteria; Pseudomonadati; Thermodesulfobacteriota; Desulfobulbia; Desulfobulbales; Desulfobulbaceae. The record is from RNAcentral.
GGGGCCCGCACAAGCGGUGGAGUAUGUGGUUUAAUUCGAUGCAACGCGAAGAACCUUACCUGGUCUUGACAUCCCGGAGACCCUUAGGAACUAGGGGUGCUUCCAUCUGGAAGAAUCUGGAGACAGGUGCUGCAUGGCUGUCGUCAGCUCGUGUCGUGAGAUGUUGGGUUAAGUCCCGCAACGAGCGCAACCCUUGCCUUUAGUUGCCAGCAGUUCGGCUGGGCACUCUAAAGGGACUGCCGGUGUUAAACCGGAGGAAGGUGGGGAUGACGUCAAGUCCUCAUGGCCUUUAUGACCAGGGCUACACACGUACUACAAUGGCCGAUACAAAGGGCAGCGACACUGUGAGGUGAAGCCAAUCCCGUAAAAUCGGUCUCAGUCCGGAUUGGAGUCUGCAACUCGACUCCAUGAAGUUGGAAUCGCUAGUAAUCGUGGAUCAGCAUGCCACGGUGAAUACGUUCCCGGGCCUU